GAAAUGCGAUACGUAAUGUGAAUUGCAGAAUUCCGUGAAUCAUCGAAUCUUUGAACGCACAUUGCACUCUAUUUCGGUAGAGUAUGCCUGUUUGAGAAUCUAUAGUAUUUAUUUUGCCUUUAUGUUUUUUCGAAAACGUAGAGAACAAAGAUGUGCAUUUUGACUAAUAAUCUAAUGCGAAUUUAACUAGCUGAACCAGUGCUUAUAGUGUCUGACUUUUUGCAACGCUUCAGAAAUGUAUUUGAAUGAGAUUCAUCUCUUAUAAUGCGGAUUAUGAAGCAGUAAAGAUUAGCUUUAAGAACUUUUACAGAUUAUACUCAUAAAGCCUUAAAACAGCUUGAACCAUGGUCUCAAAUCAGGUAGGAAUACCCGCUGAACUUAA
This 382-nucleotide unclassified non-coding RNA is filed under the name uncultured Chytridiomycota. RNAcentral describes it as "sequence contains ITS1". The stretch from base 1 to 101 matches the Rfam family "5.8S ribosomal RNA", at positions 50 to 154 of the family's 154-position model. Lineage: Eukaryota; Fungi; Chytridiomycota. The record is from RNAcentral.